UAGAGCAUGAGCAGUUUGGUUUGAUUCCCUAAAAACAUGGAGAAAAGAAAUCGAAGCAAAAGAGUUCGCCAGGGAAUGAAUAUCAGCUAUACGAUUUGCCACCUCACCCCUAGAGACCGAAAUUUCACAAAUUGAGUCGAUCACAUUCUUCGAAUCAGACUCCACCAACACUCGAGAAAGCCCUAGCCUUUCUGCAAGCCUCAAACCUUCACAAAUUGCAGCAAUUUCAGCGAGUUGAGGAUUCGUCCCCAGAUCGAUCGUCUCUGAUAACAACUCCUAAUCCAGAUCGACGCGAAUCACAAUCAUCAUCGGUGUUUAUUUUCACUACCCCACAGGGGGGAGGUUUCCAAGCGUUCUUCCGAGAUUGCCCAGCAAUAAUACUUGCAAGAAUAAGCUCAGAUUUGGAGAACUCACCUACCCAAGCCAUCCAACGAUCAAUAAAAUCAAUGGUAGACCGACCGUCCCUCAACAUAUUCGGCAACAAACAGUCCCAAAUUUGACGGGCUCUUUUGCAACUCACCAACGCAUGAUCCACAGACUCUUCCUUCUUCAAACAAACCAGACAUAAAGUGAGGGAUUCUCUAGGCUGACAACCAAUCCGAGCUUGUUGAUUAAUGAGUUGCACAAAGUCAAGCUAAAUCAAAGUUGCUACUAUAAAAUUACGAGUAUCCUUAGGUGAGACUCUUUUCGAAACAGAGUGGGAACUGAGUUAAGCGAAAUGAUUCCUUGCUUUCCAAAGAGGCUGAAAUACUCUCCUCAGAACUUCCCCGGAAAUAACUCGCUGAAGUAGUAAUUUCCCAGCUAGACAUGCUUCCAGUUGCCUUUCCGCUCACUUCGUCGCUCCCAGAUCAAUAUCCACUGUUACCUCCUCUUCUACAGAUGUUAGCUUGAACUUUUUCCAGUCUUCCAAGAGAUCCGUUGUCCCCAUUCCUAU
Long non-coding RNA from Momordica charantia (bitter melon), 934 nucleotides. RefSeq lists it as uncharacterized. The record is from RefSeq and is a predicted model, not a curated record. Lineage: Eukaryota; Viridiplantae; Streptophyta; Magnoliopsida; Cucurbitales; Cucurbitaceae.